CACACAAAGUGUACGAACUGGUGAUAUCUUUCCUUCUUUAGGGUAAUAAGUAUUUAUACUUGUUCCCUAUCUUUACUUUGAGAAAUUAGAGUGUUCAAAGCAGGCGUACCAGCCUUGAAUAAAUUUAGCAUGGGAUUAAUGGAAUAAGACUUCUGGCCUUAUUUUUCGUUGGUCAUUAGGGCUAAAGUAAUGAUUAAUAGGGAUAGUUGGGGUCAUUUGUAUUAAGCAGUCAGAGGUGAAAUUCUAAGAUUUGCUUAAGACAAGCUAGUGCGAAAGCAUUUGACAAGGAUGUUUUCAUUAAUCAAGAACGAAAGUUGGGGGAUCGAAGAUGAUUAGAUACCGUCGUAGUCCCAACCAUAAACUAUGCCAUCUAAGGAUCCGUGAAUGUCGAAUGGAUGACUUCCUGGGCACUUAUAGAGAAAUCAAAGAAUUUGGGUUCCCGGGGGGAGUAUGGUCGCAAGGCUGAAACUUAAAGGAAUUGACGGAAGAGCACCACAAGAAGUGGAAUAUGCGGUUUAAUUUGACUCAACACGGGAAAACUUACGAGGGCCAGACACAAUAAGGAUUGACAGAUUGAGAGCUCUUUCUUGAUUUUGUGGGUGGUGGUGCAUGGCCGUUUCUAGUUGGUGGAGUGAUUUGUCUGGUUAAUUCCGUUAACGAACGAGACCUUAACCUAUUAAAUAGUUACAUGAACUUGGACUUUUUGUCUAUUUGUUUAUGGUUAACUUCUUAGAGGGACUAUUCACGU
RNAcentral lists this ribosomal RNA (748 nucleotides) under uncultured eukaryote. Its description in RNAcentral is "bacterial SSU rRNA". It matches the Rfam family "Eukaryotic small subunit ribosomal RNA", at positions 680 to 1429 of the family's 1831-position model. The record is from RNAcentral.